RNAcentral lists this ribosomal RNA (225 nucleotides) under uncultured bacterium. Its description in RNAcentral is "partial 16S ribosomal RNA". It matches the Rfam family "Bacterial small subunit ribosomal RNA", at positions 15 to 231 of the family's 1533-position model. The record is from RNAcentral.
GAUCAUAGCUCAGGAUGAACGCUAGCUACAGGCUUAACACAUGCAAGUCGAGGGGCAGCAUGGUCUUAGCUUGCUAAGGCCGAUGGCGACCGGCGCACGGGUGAGUAAUACGUAUCCAACCUGCCGUCUACUCUUGGACAGCCUUCUGAAAGGAAGAUUAAUACAAGAUGGCAUCAUGAGUCCACAUGUUCACAUGAUUAAAGGUAUUCCGGUAGACGAUGGGGA